This 610-nucleotide ribosomal RNA is filed under the name Marinobacter sp. Its description in RNAcentral is "bacterial SSU rRNA". It matches the Rfam family "Bacterial small subunit ribosomal RNA", at positions 45 to 646 of the family's 1533-position model. Lineage: Bacteria; Pseudomonadati; Pseudomonadota; Gammaproteobacteria; Pseudomonadales; Marinobacteraceae. The record is from RNAcentral.
CGCAGCUUACCAUGCAGUCGAGCGGUAACAGGGGGUGCUUGCACCCCGCUGACGAGCGGCGGACGGGUGAGUAAUGCAUAGGAAUCUGCCCAGUAGUGGGGGAUAGCCCGGGGAAACCCGGAUUAAUACCGCAUACGCCCUUUGGGGGAAAGCAGGGGAUCUUCGGACCUUGCGCUAUUGGAUGAGCCUAUGUCGGAUUAGCUAGUUGGUGGGGUAAAGGCCUACCAAGGCGACGAUCCGUAGCUGGUCUGAGAGGAUGAUCAGCCACAUCGGGACUGAGACACGGCCCGAACUCCUACGGGAGGCAGCAGUGGGGAAUAUUGGACAAUGGGGGCAACCCUGAUCCAGCCAUGCCGCGUGUGUGAAGAAGGCUUUCGGGUUGUAAAGCACUUUCAGUGAGGAGGAAAACCUUCUGGUUAAUACCCAUGAGGCUUGACGUUACUCACAGAAGAAGCACCGGCUAACUCCGUGCCAGCAGCCGCGGUAAUACGGAGGGUGCAAGCGUUAAUCGGAAUUACUGGGCGUAAAGCGCGCGUAGGUGGUUUGAUAAGCGAGAUGUGAAAGCCCCGGGCUUAACCUGGGAACGGCAUUUCGAACUGUCAGGCUAGAG